GGGGAUAUAGCUCUGUGGUAGAGCAUUCAACUGCAGAUCGAGAGGUCCCUGGUUCGAACCCGGGUGUCCCCU
RNAcentral lists this transfer RNA (72 nucleotides) under Saccoglossus kowalevskii. RNAcentral describes it as "tRNA-Cys". It matches the Rfam family "tRNA". From Rfam's summary of the family: Transfer RNA (tRNA) molecules are approximately 80 nucleotides in length. Their secondary structure includes four short double-helical elements and three loops (D, anti-codon, and T loops). Further hydrogen bonds mediate the characteristic L-shaped molecular structure. tRNAs have two regions of fundamental functional importance: the anti-codon, which is responsible for specific mRNA codon recognition, and the 3' end, to which the tRNAs corresponding amino acid is attached (by aminoacyl-tRNA synthetases). tRNAs cope with the degeneracy of the genetic code in two manners: having more than one tRNA (with a specific anti-codon) for a particular amino acid; and 'wobble' base-pairing, i.e. permitting non-standard base-pairing at the 3rd anti-codon position. The record is from RNAcentral. Lineage: Eukaryota; Metazoa; Hemichordata; Enteropneusta; Harrimaniidae.